UCGGUGUGGUUGUGGCGUUGCUGGGUCUGCUGCUCGCGGUUGCGGUCGCCGCGGCCGCAGUCGUGCGAGCCGACUCCACCGAC
RNAcentral lists this transfer RNA (83 nucleotides) under Mycolicibacterium austroafricanum. RNAcentral describes it as "tRNA-Ala(cgc)". Lineage: Bacteria; Bacillati; Actinomycetota; Actinomycetes; Mycobacteriales; Mycobacteriaceae. The record is from RNAcentral.